GUCGCCUCCUAAAAGGUAACGGAGGCGCUCAAAGGUUCCCUCAGAAUGGUUGGAAAUCAUUCAUAGAGUGUAAAGGCAUAAGGGAGCUUGACUGCGAGACCUACAAGUCGAGCAGGGUCGAAAGACGGACUUAGUGAUCCGGUGGUUCCGCAUGGAAGGGCCAUCGCUCAACGGAUAAAAGCUACCCCGGGGAUAACAGGCUUAUCUCCCCCAAGAGUUCACAUCGACGGGGAGGUUUGGCACCUCGAUGUCGGCUCAUCGCAUCCUGGGGCUGUAGUCGGUCCCAAGGGUUGGGCUGUUCGCCCAUUAAAGCGGUACGCGAGCUGGGUUCAGAACGUCGUGAGACAGUUCGGUCCCUAUCCGUCGUGGGCGUAGGAAAUUUGAGAGGAGCUGUCCUUAGUACGAGAGGACCGGGAUGGACAUACCUCUGGUGUACCAGUUGUCGUGCCAACGGCAUAGCUGGGUAGCUAUGUGUGGACGGGAUAAGUGCUGAAAGCAUCUAAGCAUGAAGCCCCCCUCAAGAUGAGAUUUCCCAACUUCGGUUAUAAGAUCCCUCAAAGAUGAUGAGGUUAAUAGGUUCGAGGUGGAAGCAUGGUGACAUGUGGAGCUGACGAAUACUAAUCGAUCG
RNAcentral lists this ribosomal RNA (628 nucleotides) under Staphylococcus aureus. RNAcentral's name for it is "partial 23S ribosomal RNA". It matches the Rfam family "Bacterial large subunit ribosomal RNA", at positions 2282 to 2911 of the family's 2925-position model. The record is from RNAcentral. Lineage: Bacteria; Bacillati; Bacillota; Bacilli; Caryophanales; Staphylococcaceae.